AGUGUUUAAGACACGGAGCCGAAGCGAAAGCGAGUCUGAAUAGGGCGCUUAGUCAGUGGGGGUAGACGCGAAACCUUAGUGAUCUACCCAUGGUCAGGUUGAAGUCUCGGUAACACGAGAUGGAGGACCGAACCCGUUAACGUUGAAAAGUUUUGGGAUGAGCUGUGUGUAGGGGUGAAAGGCUUAUCAAACUGGGAAAUAGCUCGUUCUCCCCGAAAUGCAUUUAGGUGCAGCCUCGUGGUUGAGUGCGACGGAGGUAGAGCUACCGAUUGGGCUAGGGGGAGUCAAAUCCUACCAAACCCUGACGAACUCCGAAUGCCGUCUCAUAUACACGGGAGUGAGGGUAUGGGUGCUAAGGUCCGUAUCCGAGAGGGAAUCAACCCAGACUAUCCGCUAAGGUCCCCAAAUCUAUGCUAAGUUGGUUAAACGUGGUGUGGUUGCAUUGACAGCUAGGAUGUUUGCUUGGAAGCAGCAAUUCAUUUAAAGAGUGCGUAACAGCUCACUAGUCGAGCGAUCAUGCGUGGAUAAUAAUCGGGCAUAAGCAUAGUACCGAAGCGGUAGAUUUAUGGUAGGGGAGCAUUCUCAUCUGCUGCGAAGGCGAUUCGUAAGGAUCUCUGGAGCGUUGAGAAAAGAAAAUGUAGGCAUAAGUAACGAUUAAGGAUGUGAAAAACAUCCUCGCCAAAAGACCAAGGGUUCCUGAUCAACGUUAAUCGGAUCAGGUUUAGUCGGAUCCUUAGGUGAACCCGAUAGGGGCAGCCGAUGGAAAGCAGGUUUAUAUUCCUGCACCCGCAUAACAACAAAAGUGACGGAAGGACGUGGUGGCUGCGUGCUGACGGAAAUGCACGCUGAGCCGAAUCUUCGGAAGAAGCGAAGUCAUAAAAUCCUUUCCAAGAAAAGCGAGUUAUGCGGUCCGUACCCGAAACCGACACAGGUGGUCAAGUAGAAUAUACUAAGGCGCUCGAGUGAAUCACGGUUAAGGAACUAGGCAAAUUAGUCUCGUAACUUCGGAAUAAGAGACUCCCUCGCAAGAGGGACGCAGAGAAAUGGCGGUGGCGACUGUUUAUCAAAAACACAUGGCUAUGCUAAAUCGAAAGAUGAUGUAUAUGGCCUGACACCUGCCCGGUGCUGGAAGGUUAAAAGGAGAUGUCAGCGCAAGCGAAGCAUUGAAUUGAAGCCCCAGUAAACGGCGGCCGUAACUAUAACGGUCCUAAGGUAGCGAAAUUCCUUGUCGG
Molecule: ribosomal RNA, 1232 nt
Filed under: marine metagenome
Description: bacterial LSU rRNA
Rfam family: Bacterial large subunit ribosomal RNA
Source: RNAcentral